RNAcentral lists this ribosomal RNA (301 nucleotides) under uncultured bacterium. RNAcentral's name for it is "partial 16S ribosomal RNA". It matches the Rfam family "Bacterial small subunit ribosomal RNA", at positions 509 to 807 of the family's 1533-position model. The record is from RNAcentral.
CAGUCGCCACGGUAAUACGGAGGGGGCUAGCGUUGUUCGGAAUUACUGGGCGUAAAGCGCACGUAGGCGGCUUGGUAAGUUAGAGGUGAAAGCCCGGAGCUCAACUCCGGAAUUGCCUUUAAGACUGCCGAGCUAGUAGGUGAGAGAGGUAAGUGGAAUUCCGAGUGUAGAGGUGAAAUUCGUAGAUAUUCGGAAGAACACCAGUGGCGAAGGCGGCCCGCUGGACAAGUAUUGACGCUGAGGUGCGAAAGCGUGGGGAGCAAACAGGAUUAGAUACCCCUGUAGUCCCUGUCUCUUAUAC